Molecule: ribosomal RNA, 357 nt
Filed under: Bacillus velezensis
Lineage: Bacteria; Bacillati; Bacillota; Bacilli; Caryophanales; Bacillaceae
Description: bacterial SSU rRNA
Rfam family: Bacterial small subunit ribosomal RNA
Source: RNAcentral
GAGAGUUUGAUCCUGGCUCAGGACGAACGCUGGCGGCGUGCCUAAUACAUGCAAGUCGAGCGGACAGAUGGGAGCUUGCUCCCUGAUGUUAGCGGCGGACGGGUGAGUAACACGUGGGUAACCUGCCUGUAAGACUGGGAUAACUCCGGGAAACCGGGGCUAAUACCGGAUGGUUGUUUGAACCGCAUGGUUCAGACAUAAAAGGUGGCUUCGGCUACCACUUACAGAUGGACCCGCGGCGCAUUAGCUAGUUGGUGAGGUAACGGCUCACCAAGGCGACGAUGCGUAGCCGACCUGAGAGGGUGAUCGGCCACACUGGGACUGAGACACGGCCCAGACUCCUACGGGAGGCAGCAG